GCACAAAAUUUCGAAGGCCAAGCCCAAUUUCCUCUUCUUGUAUAGAAGGCCCAAGCUAAACCCUAGCUAUCCAAUCCUUCCCCAAAUCCACCGGCUGCCGUGAGCUUGCCUGUGCCCCGCUGUCGCAGCUGACGCCUCCCUCGCAGCUCCACCCCACGCUCGCCUGCGCCUGCGCCGCCGCCACCGCAUCCCGCCGGAGCUCCGUCCCACGCUCGCCCGUGGCCUUUUUGCUGACACCUCCCUGCCCUAGACCGGCCGCGCUCGCCCGCGCCGCCGCCGACGCAUCGCUGCCGGAGCUCCUUCCCUCGCUCGUCUGUGCCGCGGCCGCUGACGCCUCCCUGCUACAGAUCUGGCCCGCGCUUGCCUGCACCGCCGCCAAGACUUCCCCGCCAACGCUGCAGUUCGUCGUGCAGAAUGCCGGGAGGUUCCCGCUCGUCACCAAGUCACCAAGCCGCUCGUCGGGUCCUCUUUGAUGCCGUCUACAUCGGAACUACGCACCGCCUCCCCCACAUCUCCAUUGGAGAAAACUUCUAGGAGAGGUGUUAGGCAAAAGUAAGCUAAUUAAAGUGUUGAGCUGCUGAUGGAUGCCAAUAUGAGCUAUGUUCAGCUAGGAUAUGUAUAAUGUAGUACUAGUGUGAUUUUAUUUAAUGCUACAUUUUGGGCUUGCACUUUGUAUAAAUGAAUCAAUGUCAUGAUAAAUGUUUGUAUGAUUAAUAUAGUUCGUGAUAUGGUUUAACCAGGUGUAUCUUUUAUUUUUAUUUUUA
Molecule: long non-coding RNA, 764 nt
Organism: Panicum hallii
Lineage: Eukaryota; Viridiplantae; Streptophyta; Magnoliopsida; Poales; Poaceae
Exons: 2
Source: RefSeq, a predicted model, not a curated record